Molecule: ribosomal RNA, 456 nt
Filed under: uncultured bacterium
Lineage: Bacteria
Description: bacterial SSU rRNA
Rfam family: Bacterial small subunit ribosomal RNA
Source: RNAcentral
GAUAAACGCUAGCGGCAGGCCUAAUACAUGCAAGUCGAGGGGUAAUUCCGAUUUAUCGGGAACGACCGGCGAACGGGUGCGUAACGCGUAUGCAACUUACCUAUAGCAGUGGGAUAGCCCAUGGAAACGUGGAUUAAUACCGCAUAACGAUUACUGAUCACCUGAUCAAAAAUCAAAAGCUUUUGUGGCUAUAGAUAGGCAUGCGUCUGAUUAGCUAGUUGGUGAGGUAAAGGCUCACCAAGGCGACGAUCAGUAGCGGGUCUGAGAGGAUGAUCCGCCACACUGGGACUGAGACACGGCCCAGACUCCUACGGGAGGCAGCAGUAGGGAAUAUUGGUCAAUGGGGGGAACCCUGGAACCAGCCAUGCCGCGUGCAGGAAGACGGCCUUACGGGUUGUAACUGCUUUUAACAGGGAAAAAAGUUCCGAAUGCGUCGGAGACGUGCCAUUACCUGAA